RNAcentral lists this ribosomal RNA (464 nucleotides) under uncultured bacterium. Its description in RNAcentral is "partial 16S ribosomal RNA". It matches the Rfam family "Bacterial small subunit ribosomal RNA", at positions 28 to 507 of the family's 1533-position model. The record is from RNAcentral.
GACGAACGCUGGCGGCGUGCUUAACACAUGCAAGUCGAACGGAAAGGCCCAGCUUGCUGGGUGCUCGAGUGGCGAACGGGUGAGUAACACGUGGGUGAUCUGCCUCUAACUUCGGGAUAAGCUUGGGAAACUGGGUCUAAUACCGGAUAGGACAAUCGUUUAGUGUCGGUUGUGGAAAGUUUUUUCGGUUAGGGAUGAGCCCGCGGCCUAUCAGCUUGUUGGUGGGGUAAUGGCCUACCAAGGCGUCGACGGGUAGCCGGCCUGAGAGGGUGGACGGCCACAUUGGGACUGAGGUACGGCCCAGACUCCUACGGGAGGCAGCAGUGGGGAAUAUUGCACAAUGGGCGCAAGCCUGAUGCAGCGACGCCGCGUGGGGGAUGACGGCCUUCGGGUUGUAAACCUCUUUCGACAGGGACGAAGCUUUGGUGACGGUACCUGUAUAAGAAGCACCGGCUAACUACGUG